UACGAAGGGGGCUAGCGUUGUUCGGAUUUACUGGGCGUAAAGCGCACGUAGGCGGAUCGUUAAGUCGGGGGUGAAAUCCUGGAGCUCAACUCCAGAACUGCCUUCGAUACUGGCGAUCUUGAGUCCGGAAGAGGUGAGUAGAACUCCUAGUGUAGAGGUGGAAUUCGUAGAUAUUAGGAAGAACACCAGUGGCGAAGGCGGCUCACUGGUCCGGUACUGACGCUGAGGUGCGAAAGCGUGGGGAGCAAACAGG
RNAcentral lists this ribosomal RNA (253 nucleotides) under uncultured bacterium. RNAcentral's name for it is "partial 16S ribosomal RNA". It matches the Rfam family "Bacterial small subunit ribosomal RNA", at positions 524 to 776 of the family's 1533-position model. The record is from RNAcentral.